Molecule: ribosomal RNA, 300 nt
Filed under: uncultured Comamonadaceae bacterium
Lineage: Bacteria; Pseudomonadati; Pseudomonadota; Betaproteobacteria; Burkholderiales; Comamonadaceae
Description: bacterial SSU rRNA
Rfam family: Bacterial small subunit ribosomal RNA
Source: RNAcentral
UACAUCGGAACGUGCCCAGUAGUGGGGGAUAACCCGGCGAAAGCCGGACUAAUACCGCAUACGACCUAUGGGUGAAAGCGGGGGAGUCGCAAGACCUCGCGCUAUUGGAGCGGCCGAUGUCAGAUUAGCUAGUUGGUGGGGUAAAGGCCCUACCAAGGCGACGAUCUGCAGCUGGUCUGAGAGGACGACCAGCCACACUGGGACUGAGACACGGCCCAGACUCCUACGGGAGGCAGCAGUGGGGAAUUUUGGACAAUGGGCGCAAGCCUGAUCCAGCCAUGCCGCGUGCGGGAAGAAGGC